GAUGAACGCUAGCGGCAGGCCUAACACAUGCAAGUCGAGGGGCAGCGGGAAAGUAGCUUGCUACUUUUGCCGGCGACCGGCGCACGGGUGCGUAACGCGUAUGUAACCUACCUUAAACAGGGGCAUAACACUGAGAAAUUGGUACUAAUUCCCCAUAACACUUUGGGAGGCAUCUUCUGAAGUUGAAAGUUCCGGCGGUUUAAGAUGGACAUGCGUUGUAUUAGUUAGUUGGUGAGGUAACGGCUCACCAAGACGACGAUACAUAGGGGGACUGAGAGGUUAACCCCCCACAUUGGUACUGAGACACGGACCAAACUCCUACGGGAGGCAGCAGUGAGGAAUAUUGGUCAAUGGACGCAAGUCUGAACCAGCCAUGCCGCGUGCAGGAUGACGGCUCUAUGAGUUGUAAACUGCUUUUGUAUGAGGGUAAAUGUAGGUACGUGUACCUAUUUGAAAGUAUCAUACGAAUAAGGAUCGGCUAACUCCGUG
RNAcentral lists this ribosomal RNA (489 nucleotides) under uncultured bacterium. RNAcentral's name for it is "bacterial SSU rRNA". It matches the Rfam family "Bacterial small subunit ribosomal RNA", at positions 28 to 507 of the family's 1533-position model. The record is from RNAcentral.